RNAcentral lists this ribosomal RNA (460 nucleotides) under uncultured bacterium. RNAcentral's name for it is "SSU rRNA". It matches the Rfam family "Bacterial small subunit ribosomal RNA", at positions 26 to 518 of the family's 1533-position model. The record is from RNAcentral.
AGAAUCAACGCUGGCGGCGUGCCUAACACAUGCAAGUCGCACGAGAAAGCGGAGCAAUCCGUGAGUAAAGUGGCGCACGGGUGAGUAACACGUGAAUAAUCUACCUCCGAGUGGGGAAUAACUGAGAGAAAUCUUAGCUAAUACCGCAUAACACUUACGAGUCAAAGCAGCAAUGCGCUUGGAGAGGAGUUCGCGGCCGAUUAGUUAGUUGGCGGGGUAAUGGCCCACCAAGACGAUGAUCGGUAUCCGGCCUGAGAGGGCGCACGGACACACUGGAACUGAAACACGGUCCAGACUCCUACGGGAGGCAGCAGUGGGGAAUUUUGCGCAAUGGGGGAAACCCUGACGCAGCAACGCCGCGUGGAGGAUGAAAUAUCUUGGUAUGUAAACUCCUUUCGAUGGGGAAGAUAAUGACGGUACCCAUAGAAGAAGCCCCGGCUAACUUCGUGCCAGCAGCCGC